RNAcentral lists this ribosomal RNA (337 nucleotides) under uncultured bacterium. RNAcentral describes it as "bacterial SSU rRNA". It matches the Rfam family "Bacterial small subunit ribosomal RNA", at positions 1 to 334 of the family's 1533-position model. The record is from RNAcentral.
GUGAGUAGUUCUAGAGUUUGAUCCUGGCUCAGGACGAACGCCGGCGGCGUGCCUAACACAUGCAAGUCGAACGGGGUAAUUGCUUCGGUGAUUACUUAGUGGCGAACGGGUGAGUAACGCGUGAGGAACCUGCCUUUCAGUGGGGGACAACAGUUGGAAACGACUGCUAAUACCGCAUAAUGUUAUCGGAUCGCAUGAUCUGAUAACCAAAGAUUUAUUGCUGAAAGAUGGCCUCGCGUCUGAUUAGAUAGUUGGUGGGGUAACGGCCUACCAAGUCGACGAUCAGUAGCCGGACUGAGAGGUUGAACGGCCACAUUGGGACUGAGAUACGGCCCAG